Molecule: ribosomal RNA, 460 nt
Filed under: uncultured bacterium
Lineage: Bacteria
Description: partial 16S ribosomal RNA
Rfam family: Bacterial small subunit ribosomal RNA
Source: RNAcentral
CCUACGGGAGGCUGCAGUGAGGAAUAUUGGUCAAUGGACGAGAGUCUGAACCAGCCAAGUAGCGUGAAGGAUGACUGCCCUAUGGGUUGUAAACUUCUUUUAUAAAGGAAUAAAACGAGGCACGUGUGCCUUUUUGCAUGUACUUUAUGAAUAAGGAUCGGCUAACUCCGUGCCAGCAGCCGCGGUAAUACGGAGGAUCCGAGCGUUAUCCGGAUUUAUUGGGUUUAAAGGGAGCGUAGAUGGGUUGUUAAGUCAGUUGUGAAAGUUUGCGGCUCAACCGUAAAAUUGCAAUUGAUACUGGAAGUCUUGAGUACAGGAGAGGUAGGAGGAAGUCGUGGUGUAGCGGUGAAAUGCUUAGAUAUCACGAAGAACCCCGAGUGCGAAGGCAGCUUACUAAACUGUGACUGACAUUGAGGCUCGAAAGUGUGGGUAUCAAACAGGAUUAGAUACCCGAGUAGUC